CUAGGCGCCUUCCCGCCCCUCUGGUGUUCAAGCACCGGGCGCGCGAGGUCCUCGCUUUUAGCCCGCGAGUGCAGCUUCCUCCGCACUCUCUGCAGAUAUGUUUCCAGGCGUCUCCUCUCCGCGAACCCCGGGACCAGGGACCCGACGGGGUCCGCUAGUCGGAAUCGGGCCCUCGACCACGCCUAGAGCGAGCAGGAGGGGCCUGUCUCUGGGAUCUGCGGUUAGCUCGCCUGUGCUGUUCUCGCCGGUAGGCCGGCGCAGCUCAGUGAGCUCUAGAGGAACGCCUACUCGGAUAUUCCCCUACCAUUCCAUAUCAGAGUCUGUGAACUACGACGUGAGAGUGUUUGGAUCAUCGCUCCCUGUUAAGAUCAUGGAAGCCCUGGCGAUGGCUGAGGCUGACGACCAGCUCUCAGUCCACAUCGAUGAAGGUGGUUGGGCCUGCCUAGUAUGCAAAGAGAAGCUCCUCGUUUGGAAGAUUGCUAUGUCGCCUGUGACUAAGUUGUCUGUUUGCAAAGACCUCCAGCUGCCCCCUAGCGAUUUCCACUGGAGUGCUGAUUUGGUGGCACUGUCUUAUGCUGCAACCUCAGGUGAAGUCCAUUCUGUUCAGGCUGUUUCUGUCAUGGUUGCUACCAAAGAGGGGUCCAUCCGCUACUGGCCCAGCCUUGCCAGGGAAGACACCUACUCAGACACCUCUGUGGAUUUGGGAGGCGAGAAGGUGUGCAGGUUCCUGACAGCAGUGCAGGGAGGAAGUUUCAUCCUGUCCUCUGUGGGAAGCCAGUUGGUUCGAUUGAUUCCUGAGGGCUCAGGGAAGAUUCACCAGCAUGUCCUGCCCCAGGGCCAAGGCAUGCUCUCGGGGAUUGGCCGGAGGGUUUCUUCCCUUUUUGGGAUUCUGUCCCCUACUAGUGACCUCAUGCUGGCCAGUGUUCUGUGGGACAGAGGAAAUUCAAGUUUCUACACUCUGACGAGUUCAAACAUCAGCAAAUGGGAACUGGAUGAUUCUUCAGAGAAGCAGGUUUACAGUUGGGAUAUGCACAGAGCCCUGAAGGAGAGCAUCACCGAUGCUAUUUGGGGGUCUGAAAGUAACUAUGAAGCUAUUAAAGAAGGGGUCAGCAUUCAGUAUUUGGAUUUGAAACAAAACUGCGAUGGGCUCCUGAUUUUGGCAGCAGCAUGGCACCUGGGAGACAGCCCCUGUCUUGUCUAUUACUCUGUGAUCACAGUGGAGGACAACGGUAACCAGAUGUCAGAUGCAGUCACCGUUGAAGUGACUCAGUAUAACCCACCUUUCCAGUCUGAAGACCUGGUUGCAUGUCGAUUGAUGGUGCCAGACUUCCCAAGCCAGAUGACCUACCUCUACAUGGAGAGCGCUGUCUUUGUAUGCUCCACAGGAACUGGGAAGGUUUCGCUUCCUCAGGAGAAGAUUGUCUUCGAUACACAGGGAGACGGCAUUUUGGGCGCUGGCUCCUGUGGUGGAGUUCCUAUCCUUUUCUCUAGGAACAGUGGUCUGGUGUCUGUCACUCCAAGGGAAAGUAUGUCCCUGUUAGCAGAAGGCCUGGAAGAGUCUUUGGCCUCUUCCGGUGGUGGACGGGGUAGUGAGAGUAUGGUUUUUGAGACCACAAAAAAUGACACUGCAGCCCAUGAAGACAAGACCAAACUGCUUAAAACUGCAUUUCUGCAGUACUGCAGGAAAGACUUGGGCCGCGCUCAGAUGAUGGCUGAUGAGCUCUUUUCCUCUCACACUGACUUGGAGUCAGAUCCUGAGUUAGACAAGGCUGUGACUCAGAUCAGUGUGGACCUGAUCGAUGACUACCCAGCCUCGGACCCACGCUGGGCAGAGUCUGUCCCCCAGGAGGCCCCUGGGCUGAGCAACACCUCGCUGAUCGUUUUGCACCAGCUGGAGGACAAGAUGAAAGCUCACUGCCUCCUGGUGGACUUCCUUCACCAAGUCGGCCUGUUUAGACGGCUGGACUCUUAUCCAAUCAGAGGGACACCCAUGACCACCCGCCUGCUGCUCUGUGAACAUGCAGAAAAGCUGUCAGCUGCCAUCACACUCAAAAACCACCACUCUCGGCUGCCAGACCUGGUGAACGCAGCUAUCCUGCUCGCCCUGAACAAGAGGGAGUGUGAGGUGCCCCCCAGCCUGACUCCUGCCGAUGUCUUCUUUCGAGAGGUGUCCCAGGUGGACACGAUCUGCGAGUGCCUCCUGGAGCACGAAGAACAAGUCCUGCGUGACGUUGCACUGGUCUCUCAGGAGUGGGCAGAAGUGGCGAUCGAUGUCAAUACAGUCCUCAAGGACAUGCUGCAGGCUGCCGCUCACUACCGCCUAAACAAAGGCUCUAUGUACAGUCGGGAGGAGCCGCUAGGGAAGGAGCCCGAGUAUGUGCCCUGGACAGCCACAAGUGGUCCAUCGGGCAUCCGCACGGUGAUCAUGCGCCAGCACGGGAUCAUCCUGAAGACCGUGUACCCUCAGGCUGACAGCAACCUCCGGAGCAUCGUGAUGGAGCAGCUGGUGGCCCUGAUUGACUGCUUCCUGGACAGCUACGUUUCCCAGCUGAAGUCUCUGGAGAAAUCCAGUGACCAAGAAAGAUACAGCAGUCUGGAAGUGGAAUACCUACAGAAAAGAUCGGAGCUCCUCUCUCCCCUUCUCACACUAGGCCAGUACCCAUGGGCAGCUUCUCUGGCAGAGAAGUACUGUGACUUCGACAUCCUGGUGCAGAUGUGUGAGCAGACGGACAACCAGGCCCGACUCCAGCGCUACAUGACCCAGUUCGCUGACCAGAAUUUUUCAGACUUUCUCUUUCGUUGGUACCUGGAGAAAGGAAAGCGGGGCAAAUUGCUAUCUCAGCCCAUUUCUCAGCAUGGACAGUUGGCAAAUUUUUUGCAAGCCCAUGAGCAUCUCAGCUGGUUACAUGAAAUUAAUAGUCAAGAAUUAGAAAAGGCUCAUACAACACUGCUAGGUUUGGCAAAUAUGGAGACCCGUUACUUUGCAAAGAAAAAAACCCUUCUCGGCCUGAGUAAGCUGGCUGCCCUAGCUUCAGACCUUUCAGAGGACACGCUGCAAGAGAAGAUCGAAGCCAUGGCUGAGCAAGAGCGCUUCCUGCUGCACCAGGAGACCCUGCCAGAGCAGCUGCUGACCGAGAGACAGCUGAGUCUUAGUGCAAUGCCCGUGUUGACUGCACCACAGCUCAUCAGUCUGUAUAUCUGUGAAGAAAACAGAAGAGCCAAUGAGUAUGAUUUCAAGAAAGCCUUGGACUUACUGGAGUACAUCGAUGAGGAGGAAGAUGUGAACAUCGAUGACCUGAAACUGGAGAUCCUGUGCAGAGCGCUGCAGAGAGACGACUGGUCUGGCUCAGAUGGCAGAGACGAUCCAAUCGAAGUGUCUAAAGACAGUGUGUUUGUGAAGAUCUUGCAGAAACUUAUAAAAGACGGCGUCCAGCUCAGCGAGUAUCUACCAGAGGUGAAGGACCUGCUGCAGGCCGAGCAGCUGGGGAGCCUCAAGUCCAACUCUUACUUCGAGUUUGUUCUAAAAGCAAAUUAUGAGUAUUAUGUCCAAGGACAGAUGUGACAUUUGUAGAAAUCGUUUUCUAAAAUUUGUAUAAAUGUUUGCUUAUAAAAAAAAUAUUGAGGCCAAAAAACUUAGGUCUUUUCUUAAUCAA
RNA transcript from Rattus rattus (black rat), 3653 nucleotides. It is a transcript of the gene named nucleoporin 133, with no coding region annotated. The transcript has 27 exons. The record is from RefSeq and is a predicted model, not a curated record. NCBI's taxonomy places the organism in Eukaryota, Metazoa, Chordata, Mammalia, Rodentia, Muridae.